RNAcentral lists this long non-coding RNA (147 nucleotides) under Mustela putorius furo (domestic ferret). RNAcentral describes it as "lncRNA (ENSMPUG00000026543.1)". The record is from RNAcentral. Lineage: Eukaryota; Metazoa; Chordata; Mammalia; Carnivora; Mustelidae.
AUCUGACCAUGCUGACCCACAGACUAUCCUUUGGCAUGACCCCAAGGAAUUGGAUAUAUGUCAGAGGAGAUGGGCUAAUCACUUUUCUGCAUUUGUGGGAAAAAUCACUGCAGGCCUUUGGAAACCUAUCACACUUCAACACACCGG